GGACAGGUGGCCUACGGCCAGUCACAGUGCAAGUCCAAAGAAACAAAGGAGAGAAAAUGUUAUUUCAUAAAGUUGGGAGGGGCUGUUGUAAAGGAAGAGUCCAUUGGAGCAGACUGGGAGUUCGAAGUGUGGUGGCUCUUCAUUGGCUGAGUUAUGGCCGUCUGUCAUUGGCUGAGCUGUUGCUGGGCAAGGAGGAGUUUCUUCCUUCCUCCUGCUGGGGUAGUAAGUAGGUAGCAUCAUUUCCUAUUGGAGAUGCAAGAUAGCCUCUUCCUGGUGUGAUACAGGUUUCUGAGAAAGACAAAGAAAAAGACUGUCUUCUUUCUUCCUCUUUUUUUUUUUUUUUUUAAUUAAACUUACCUGGAAAUGCACAAACUGUGCUUCAGUGCCCCCUGCGGCCCCGGAUCCUCAGAGCAGAUUGUGUGCCUGUCUCUCUUAAUUGCUUAUGUUACUAUAUGAGUUCCCAAGCUGUUCUCCUAGCCGUGCAAAUACACAUUUUGUGACGUUCUAAGUAUCGUGUGCUAUUGUUCUUGGCAAAAUACUUUGUUCUGUUGCUCUCCUGCCCAGAGGCAAGAGGAGAAAGAACAGAAGGACCUCUAGAAGUCAACCUGUCAAUUCACUUACUCCAUAUAAUUAUGGAAGAUGCUGGAAACAGGAAAAACAUGUAAUCAAGUGCUUUAGGAUGGACCACAAGCAGAGAGAAGUUUUGUUUCACACAGUAGUGUCUUUGCAGAUGUCAUCCAGUUAAGAUGCGGUCAUCAGGUGGGCCCUAAUCCAAUAUGACUAGUGUCCUUAUAAGAGGAGGAGAGACACAAACACAGACACACCCAGAGGGAAGACCAAGUGACCACCAAGAUUGGGGUUAUGUAUUUACAAGCCAAGGACUGCCAACAACAGCAGAAGCCAAGAGAAAGGCAUGGAACAGAUUGUCUCCUGGAGCCUUCAGAGAGAUCAUGGCCCUGCUGACACUUUGAUUUGGGACUUGUAAUCUCCAGACCUGUGAGAGACUACAUUUCUUUUGUUUUCAGUCCCUCAGUUUAUGGUACUUCGUUAUAGCAGCCCAAGCAAAGUAAGACAGCAAUUAUCUCGCUGGCCCAUUUGGAGUAGCCUACUCACUGUGAUGGGGACCAUGACUUAUUUCUCUGUGUUUCAUAAAUGAACUGCCACAAGUCCAUAGGUCGGGUGAAAGACCAACGUAACCUUGAAAUGAGUGAUCUGGAGUGAAGGUCACAUCCAUUUCUGUUCCUGAGAGCAGGUACCAGUUAACUACUAGGAUGGAAGCAAAUCUCUUGUUGGUUUUUUCCUCUCACCACUCUUUCCACUUCUUGUGAAUGGUUUAAAAAAAAAGAGAAGCAAUUGACUGUUUUUUUAAAAGUUAUUUUAUGAUGUUAAAUUUUUAUUGUGAAAGGAAAAAUGUUAAAGGGAAAGCUGCUUAUCUCAACCUGAAAGACAUACAGUGAGAGAAAAACUCAGACAGCAACUUAACGACUUACUGGUCUAGUGGUCCACAAUCCUGGCUGCACUUCAUAAUUACCUGGCGCCCUUUAAAAAUACCAUCAUUUAGGGGCUGGCCCCGUGGCCAAGUGGUUAAGUUCGCACGCUCCGCUGCAGGCGGCCCAGUGUUUCGUUGGUUCGAAUCCUGGGCGCGGACAUGGCACUGCUCAUGAAACCACGCUGAGGCAGCGUCCCAUAUGCCACAACUAGAAGGAGCCACAACGAAGAAUAUACAACUAUGUACUGGGGGGCUUUGGGGAGAAAAAGGAAAAAAUAAAAUCUUUA
This is a long non-coding RNA of Equus caballus (horse), 1776 nucleotides long. NCBI's taxonomy places the organism in Eukaryota, Metazoa, Chordata, Mammalia, Perissodactyla, Equidae. The record is from Ensembl.